GAGCUGCUGUUUAUAUUUUUCCUACUACACUAAGUUCUGGAGAUUUAUUUUGAAAACUUACAAAUCACAUGAUGAGUUCCUAGCAUAACAAACAACCUACCAUAGCCAUACUUGCUAUAAUAUCUUUUACUUAUAUUCACAUUGAGUUUGAUCGAGCUGUGUAGACCCUUAGGAGCUUUUCAUGUGGUUAAAUUAAGAUAUUCACUUGCACGCAUCCACUACACCAUUCACCACCAUUCAUUAAAAAAUUGCUAAAAAUAUUAUCACUCACUGUCCCAAGUAUUGUUAUUCUCUCUUUCCAAAAAGAUUCAAUGCAGAAGAGGCAUGAGUUAUGGAAAAAUAUGCGACGAAAUAAAAAGGGGCAAGUGCCCGGAACCUCAGAAAAAGAAAGAAUAAGAGUGAGACGAGAGGUAAAAAUGGACAAGUGUCCGGAGUAGAAUUAGGGGUACAAAGAUGCCCACUUGAGCGGAAAAAAUGGACAAGUGUCCGACAGUAGAAUUAGGGGUGUCUACUACCCACCUGAAAAGAAAAAAAAAGAUAGCCCAUGUUCUCCCAAAGCAAAGAUCAAAGAAGAGGAGAGAUAGCAAUAUAAGGAGUAAUGAGAAGUAAGCUUUAUCAUUACUUAUAUUUUCACCAUAACUAUCAUUUACUCCACCACAC
Molecule: long non-coding RNA, 660 nt
Filed under: Sorghum bicolor (sorghum)
Lineage: Eukaryota; Viridiplantae; Streptophyta; Magnoliopsida; Poales; Poaceae
Description: long non-coding RNA (SBIC_LNC006572)
Source: RNAcentral